GGCGGACGGGUGAGUAAUGUAUAGGAACUUGCCUAGUAGUGGGGGACAACGUGUGGAAACGCACGCUAAUACCGCGUACGCUCUACGGAGGAAAGCGGGGGAUCUUCGGACCUCGUGCUACUAGAUGGGCCUAUAUUGGAUUAGCUAGUCGGUAAGGUAAAGGCUUACCAAGGCGACGAUCCAUAGCUGGUUUGAGAGAAUGAUCAGCCACACUGGGACUGAGACACGGCCCAG
This 234-nucleotide ribosomal RNA is filed under the name uncultured bacterium. RNAcentral's name for it is "partial 16S ribosomal RNA". It matches the Rfam family "Bacterial small subunit ribosomal RNA", at positions 97 to 334 of the family's 1533-position model. The record is from RNAcentral.